GACGUAGGGCGCGAGCGUUGUCCGGAUUUAUUGGGCGUAAAGAGCUCGUAGGCGGCUUGUCGCGUCGACUGUGAAAACCCGCGGCUCAACUGCGGGCCUGCAGUCGAUACGGGCAGACUAGAGGUAGGUAGGGGAGAAUGGAAUUCCCGGUGUAGCGGUAAAAUGCGCAGAUAUCGGGAGGAACACCGGUGGCGAAGGCGGGUCUCUGGACAGUUCCUGACGCUGAGGCACGAAGGCCAGGGGAGCAAACGGG
RNAcentral lists this ribosomal RNA (253 nucleotides) under uncultured bacterium. Its description in RNAcentral is "partial 16S ribosomal RNA". It matches the Rfam family "Bacterial small subunit ribosomal RNA", at positions 524 to 776 of the family's 1533-position model. The record is from RNAcentral.